UUGAUGAAUCAUAUAUUUCAUAAGUACUUGAGGAAGUUUGUGCUUGUCUUUUUUGAUGAUAUUUGGGUAUACAGCUCCUCUAUAGAAGAGCAUCUGCAGCAUUUAGAGAUAGUGUUCCAGAUCUUGAAAGAACAGAAAUUGUAUGCUAAACUCAGUAAAUGUUCUUUUGGUAAAACUGAGAUUGAUUAUUUAGGCCACAUAAUUUUGGGUGAGGGAGUUAAAACUGAUCCUUUGAAGAUUCAAGCAAUGAUAACAUGGCCAGUCCCUCAGUCUCUUAAGGAAUUGAGGAGUUUCUUGGGUCUUACUGGAUACUACAGAAAGUUUGUG
This 327-nucleotide unclassified non-coding RNA is filed under the name Hevea brasiliensis (rubber tree). The record is from RNAcentral. Lineage: Eukaryota; Viridiplantae; Streptophyta; Magnoliopsida; Malpighiales; Euphorbiaceae.